GAGAAGGGAAGGAAGAAGAGGAAGGAGAAAGGGGGAAGGAAGAAGCAGGGAGGGGUCCUCAAGGAGCUAUGUGAGUUAGGAAAAUGAUCAUUUCAGGAACUGUGAAGUGUUAAAGAGAAAGUAUAUUAGAACUAUUAUGAAGUCACAGGAGAAGCCAUAUGAGUUGUCAGUGGUUGCUGUCUUUGCUACCCUUUCUUAAUGAUGCUGGCUCCCAUAUCUCAGCUUCAACUAGAGUCCUUUCAUAGAAUUGUCCCUCUCCCUCUCCCUCCCCCUCCCUCCCCCUCCCCCUCCCCCUCUCCCCACGGUCUCCCUCUCCCUCUCUUUCCACGGUCUCCCUCUGAUGCCAAGAUGAAGCUGGACUGUACUGCUGCCUUCUCGGCUCACUGCAACCUCCCUGCCUGAUUCUCCUGCCUCAGCCUGCCCAGUGCCUGGGAUUGCAGGCGCGUGCCGCCACACCUGACUGGUUUUCGUAUUUUUUUGGUGGAGACGGGGUUUCGCUGUGUUGGCCUGCCUGGUCUCCAGCUCCUAACCGCGAGUGAUCUGCCAGCCUCGGCCUCCUGAGGUGCUGGGAUUGCAGACGGAGUCUCUCAUUCACUCAGUGCUCAAUGUUGCCCAGGCUGGAGUGCAGUGGCGUGAUCUCGGCUCGCUACAACCUCCACCUCUCAGCUGCCUGCCUUGGCCUCCCAAAGUGCCGAGAUUGCAGCCUCUGCCCGGCCGCCACCCCGUCUGGGAAGUGGGGAGCGUCUCCCUGGCCGCCCAUCUUCUGGGAUGUGAGGAGCCCCUCUGCCCGGCUGCCCAGUCUGGGAAGUGAGGAGUGCCUCUUCCCGGCCGCCAUCCCGUCUAGGAAGUGAGGAAUGUCUCUGCCCGGCCACCCAUCAUCUGGGAUGUGAGGAGCGCCUCUGCCCGGCCACGACCCUGUCUGGGAGGUGAGGAGCAUCUCUGCCCGGCAGCCGCCCCGUCUGGGAAGUCAGGAGUGUCUCCGCCCGGCAGCGCCCAGUCUGGGAGGUGGGGGGCAGCCCCCACCUGGCCAGCCGCCCCGUCCGGGAGGGAGGUGGGGGCACCUCCGCCUGGCCGCCGCCCCGUCCGGGAGGUGGGGGGCGCCUCUGCCCGGCCGCCCCUUCUGGGAAGUGAGGAGCCCCUUUGCCCGGCUGCCACCCCGUCUGGGAGGUGUACCCAACAGCUCAUUGAGAACGGGCCAUGAUGACGAUGGCGGUUUUGUCGAAUAGAAAAGGGGGAAAUGUGGGGAAAAGAUAGAGAAAUCAGAUUGUUGCUGUGUCUGUGUAGAAAGAAGUAGACAUAGGAGACUCCAUUUUGUUCUGUACUAAGAAAAAUUCUUCUGCCUUGGGAUGCUGUUAAUCUAUGACCUUACCCCCAACCCUGUGCUCUCUGAAACAUGUGCUGUGUCCACUCAGGGUUGGAUGGAUUAAG
Molecule: long non-coding RNA, 1428 nt
Filed under: Homo sapiens (human)
Lineage: Eukaryota; Metazoa; Chordata; Mammalia; Primates; Hominidae
Description: HSALNT0062040
Source: RNAcentral